This 573-nucleotide small RNA is filed under the name Pan troglodytes (chimpanzee). RNAcentral describes it as "retained intron". Lineage: Eukaryota; Metazoa; Chordata; Mammalia; Primates; Hominidae. The record is from RNAcentral.
CAGGAGAACCUGCUCAGCUUGGAGGAGACCAUGAAGCAGCUGGAGGUGGGGCGGGACGGGCCAGGGGUGCCCUGAGUGGGCCGGGGAAGGAAGGGGCCCCCCUCAUCCAUGACCCCCACCCCACCAGGAGUUGGAGGAGGAAUUUUGCCGCCUGCGACCCCUCCUGUCUCAGCUUGGGGGGAACUCUGUCCCCCAGCCUGGCUGCACUUGAGGUUCCCGCCCAGGAAGGCCUUUUGCAAGGAGAGGAAUGGGGGAGAGGACGUGAGGGACCACCCCCACCCACACAGCUGCCGCAGCAUCUCACACCCCGAGGGCCUGAGGAGAGGGAGCUGUGGGCCACGCCUGGGAGGGGCCCAGCUGGGGUUACUGGCCCCGCAUGAGCCUCGGCCAUCUCUCCCUCCUGCCCUCUGCUUGGGGGACUCAGGGCUCCAUUCUGGAGGGCACCACGGUGACCCGGGCCAUCUCAGUAUUGCCUGUGGGGGCCACCCCUCCACCCCCACCCCCAAGUGCCUUCGCUCUGUUUUUAUACCCUGAAUUGGAGGUUUAUUUUUUAAUAUAUAUUAUCUAAGAAGA